Molecule: unclassified non-coding RNA, 377 nt
Filed under: uncultured Gammaproteobacteria bacterium
Lineage: Bacteria; Pseudomonadati; Pseudomonadota; Gammaproteobacteria
Description: contains 16S-23S intergenic spacer region
Source: RNAcentral
UCCGGUUCAUCACCAGCAGUCCCCUUAGAGUGCUCGACUUAACUCGUUAGCAACUAAGGGCAAGGGUUGCGCUCGUUACGGGACUUAACCCAACAUCUCACAACACGAGCUGACGACAGCCAUGCAGCACCUGUCUCUGCGUUCCUUUCGGCACUCCAAGCUCUCACUCGGAUUCGCAGGAUGUCAAGAGUAGGUAAGGUUCUUCGCGUUGCAUCGAAUUAAACCACAUGCUCCACCGCUUGUGCGGGCCCCCGUCAAUUCCUUUGAGUUUCAACCUUGCGGCCGUACUCCCCAGGCGGAGAACUUAUCGCGUUAGCUUCGAUACGGAAAGGUCGCCCUCCCCACAUCUAGUUCUCAUCGUUUACAGCGUGGACUAC